This is a long non-coding RNA of Astatotilapia calliptera (eastern happy), 1764 nucleotides long. The record is from Ensembl. Lineage: Eukaryota; Metazoa; Chordata; Actinopteri; Cichliformes; Cichlidae.
AGGUCGGAAACAGUUAGGAAGGUCAGAAAACAAUUUAAUUAAUAGAUGAGGGGAGAGGAGGAGAAAAAAGAACUACAACCAGACAAAGCUCCUAGAAGACUGAAAUGGAUGAUGGUUGCAGCAUGCAAAAAGAAAAUGAUAUCUGUUGACUACAGCAUAUGCUUUCUCACAGAUUACCUUGUGGGAGUAGCUGGACCAAACUCUAUUGGUAUUUCAAGUUUGAAAUCCCUGUUUGACCAGACUAACAUUUCAGAUGAGGUAAUAGAUGGCCUAAUCUAUUUGCAGUGUGAGAAUUUCCCUCACAUUUAUCCAAUACCAAGCCAAAUCACUGGAAAAAUUUUGGAUGGGUCCACAAGAGCACAAAGUGCAUUCUUUUUGAAGAAAAACAUCUUUCAGAUGUAUGAGAAAUUGAUUGGAGCCUGUCUGGAAAACGGCAGCCACUGGACCUUGUUUUUUUGUGACAUACCCAAGAGGACCAUAGUCUAUAUGAAUUCAUUUGGCGAGUCGGAGGUCAGAAAAAGUGCGGUGUUGAAAAACUGGAGCUCAUUUGCUUCAGCAAGAGGCUGCGCUGGAGAGUGGACCUUGUCACAUGUGAGCCACCCACAUCAACAGGAUGGGAACUCAUGUGGAGUGCAUGUCAUAAUGUUUGCCCAAUCUCUCAUUGACGGUAAAACACAAGUGGAGGAGUACAACACUGAAAUCACAAAGCUCAGGUCCCGACUUUGCCACUACUUAUUUUCCUCAAUAGAUCGAACUAGGAAGUGCAGUCAGUGCUGGUGUGUGAUUGCAGCCAAAGACCGGGUGCAGUGCCAGAAAUGUGGUGCAUACAAGCACAUGCGUUGUUCAAAGUCUGUUUGUGGCAUCUGUAUCUUCUGUGAGAGGCCGUAAAGCCAAACUGCCCGCAAUGAUUCUUGACAGGCCUAAGAAGGCCAAAACUAAAGUAACAGUGUUUAGUGUUCUGAGUGAAGAGGAGGCUGGGGAGCUAGCCCUCGGGUUUGCCGGAAGAUUGGCCUGCGAUGUCACAACAGACAUGGUCUGUAAAGGCAUCGACCAUUCAAGUGCUGAUAUGACAAAACAGACUCUUCUCAAAAUCCAACACAAUCUUAAACAUGAGCUGACUGAUUCCUCAACCUUCAGUUUGCUGACACACACCUUUGGCCCCGCUGCACUGGAUUCUGUCAUUUCAUUCCUGUGUGAAAAACUUGAUCUUGUUUCUUAAAUAAUGAAACCUUUUGUGACUUUUGUUUGUUCUGUAAAUCAGAAUCUUGAAAAUUGUUCAUUGUUGUUCUAAGUUUGUGUUAACUAUUUGGCAAAAAUGAUUGGUUCCUAAUCCAAACAGCAUAAUGACUGUUCUAACACAUAUCUUAAAAAUGCUACAAAGAAAGAAAAUUAUCACAUAUGUUUCAAUAUGAAUGUAAUUGUGUCACACUCGGUUUGUAGUAGCUUUCCUGUUUUAUUUUGAGUUUUGGUAUGUUUACACUGUUAUUUUUAUUUCCCGUGUGUUCGUCUUCCCUUAUUAGUUUUACUGUAUUUAAUUAGUCUGAUUUAAUAACUUAUAAUUAUUUACUUUCCAGUGUGUGUAUAUGCUCCUCGUUUGGAUUAUUGUUUGUUUGAGUUCUGCCUGUCUUUUCUAUUAAAGAUUUGGACUUUUGGACUAUUAGUGGACCUCGUAGGUUUUUAUUCUGUUCAAUUGGUAAUUGACUGGGUUUAAUUUAGUGGCCUGGAAAACAGGCCGGAGGGGUCUGGUCAUUUUAACCCCCUAAG